CACGGUAAACGAUGGAUGCCCGCUGUUUGCGAUAUACUGUGAGCGGCCAAGAGAAAUCGUUAAGCAUCCCACCUGGGGAGUACGCCGGCAACGGUGAAACUCAAAGGAAUUGACGGGGGCCCGCACAAGCGGAGGAACAUGUGGUUUAAUUCGAUGAUACGCGAGGAACCUUACCCGGGCUUGAACUGCAGGAGAACGAUACAGAGAUGUUGAGGUCCUUCGGGACUCCUGUGGAGGUGCUGCAUGGUUGUCGUCAGCUCGUGCCGUGAGGUGUCGGCUUAAGUGCCAUAACGAGCGCAACCCUUUUCGUCAGUUGCCAUCAGGUGAAGCUGGGCACUCUGGCGAUACUGCCACCGUAAGGUGUGAGGAAGGUGGGGAUGACGUCAAAUCAGCACGGCCCUUACGUCCGGGGCUACACACGUGUUACAAUGGGGAGUACAGAGAGUCAACCGCCGGCAACGUCGGUUUAAUCAAGAAAGCUCUCCUCAGUUCGGAUUGGGGUCUGCAACCCGACC
RNAcentral lists this ribosomal RNA (515 nucleotides) under uncultured bacterium. RNAcentral describes it as "bacterial SSU rRNA". It matches the Rfam family "Bacterial small subunit ribosomal RNA", at positions 798 to 1317 of the family's 1533-position model. The record is from RNAcentral.